Molecule: ribosomal RNA, 262 nt
Filed under: uncultured bacterium
Lineage: Bacteria
Description: partial 16S ribosomal RNA
Rfam family: Bacterial small subunit ribosomal RNA
Source: RNAcentral
UACGGAGGGUGCAAGCGUUAUCCGGAUUCACUGGGUUUAAAGGGUAGCGUAGGCGGAUUAGAAAGUCCGUUGUGAAAUCUCUGAGCUUAACUACGGCGAAAUUGCGGUGGAGUACUAUUAAUCUUGGAAUACGUGUGGAGGUUAGCGGGAAUAUGUCAUGUAGCGGUGAAAUGCAUAGAUAUGACAUAGAACACCAAUUGCGAAGGCAGCCUGGCUACACAGAUAUUGACGCUGAGGCACGAAAGCGUGGGGAUCAAACAGG